UACAGAGGUCCCAAGCGUUUGUUCGGAUUCACUGGGCGUAAAGGGUGCGUAGGCGGUCGGGUAAGUCUGAUGUGAAAUCUCACAGCUUAACUGUGAAACUGCAUUGGAUACUAUUCGGCUAGAGAGUUGGAGGGGGGACUGGAAUUCUUGGUGUAGCAGUGAAAUGCGUAGAUAUCAAGAGGAACACCAGUGGCGAAAGGCGAGUCCCUGGACAAACUUUCUGACGCUGAGGCACGAAAGCUAGGGGGAGCAAAACAGG
This 259-nucleotide ribosomal RNA is filed under the name uncultured bacterium. Its description in RNAcentral is "partial 16S ribosomal RNA". It matches the Rfam family "Bacterial small subunit ribosomal RNA", at positions 524 to 776 of the family's 1533-position model. The record is from RNAcentral.